CAGGAGGCAGCAGGGCGCAAAUUACCCCACUCCAGAACGGGAGGUAKGACGAAAAAUAACAAUACGGGACUCUUUUGAGACCCCGUAAUUGGAAUGAGUACACUCUAAAUCCUUUAACGAGGAUCCAUUGGAGAGCAAGUCUGGUGCCAGCAGUCGCGGUAAUUCCAGCUCCAAUAGCGUAUAUUAAAGUUGUUGCGGUUAAAAAGCUCGUAGUUGGAUCUCAGCUCUGGCCGGACGGUCCACCUACCGGUGGUUACUGUUCGCUGCCGAGCGUUACGCAGGCGCUGUCUGAUGAUCUUUACCGGUUGUCCGGCGGUGCCUACACGUUUACUUUGAAAAAAUUAGAGUGCUCAACGCAGGCGUGACGCCUGAAUAAUUGUGCAUGGAAUAAUGGAAUAGGACCUCGGUUCUAUUUUGUUGGUUUUCGGAACACGAGGUAAUGAUUAAGAGGGACAGACGGGGGCAUUCGUAUUGCGACGCUAGAGGUGAAAUUCUUGGACCGUCGCAAGACGAACUACUGCGAAAGCAUUUGCCAAGAAUGUUUCCAUUAAUCAAGAACGAAAGUUAGAGGUUCGAAGGCGAUCAGAUACCGCCCUAGUUCUAACCAUAAACGAUGCCAGCCAGCGAUCCGGCUGUGUUCCUCAAUGACACGCCGGGCAGCUUCCGGGAACCAAAGCUUUUGGUCC
Molecule: ribosomal RNA, 686 nt
Filed under: Acusilas malaccensis
Lineage: Eukaryota; Metazoa; Arthropoda; Arachnida; Araneae; Araneidae
Description: SSU rRNA
Rfam family: Eukaryotic small subunit ribosomal RNA
Source: RNAcentral